AACGAACGCUGGCGGCAUGCCUAACACAUGCAAGUCGAACGAGACCUUCGGGUCUAGUGGCGCACGGGUGCGUAACGCGUGGGAACCUGCCCUUAGGUUCGGAAUAACUCCCCGAAAGGGGUGCUAAUACCGGAUAAUGUCUUCGGACCAAAGAUUUAUCGCCUUUGGAUGGGCCCGCGUUGGAUUAGCUAGUUGGUAGGGUAAAAGCCUACCAAGGCGACGAUCCAUAGCUGGUCUGAGAGGAUGAUCAGCCACACUGGGACUGAGACACGGCCCAGACUCCUACGGGAGGCAGCAGUGGGGAAUAUUGGACAAUGGGCGAAAGCCUGAUCCAGCAAUGCCGCGUGAGUGAUGAAGGCCUUAGGGUUGUAAAGCUCUUUUACCCGGGAUGAUAAUGACAGUACCGGGAGAAUAAGCGCCGGCCAACUCCGUG
This 433-nucleotide ribosomal RNA is filed under the name uncultured bacterium. RNAcentral's name for it is "partial 16S ribosomal RNA". It matches the Rfam family "Bacterial small subunit ribosomal RNA", at positions 29 to 507 of the family's 1533-position model. The record is from RNAcentral.